RNAcentral lists this ribosomal RNA (658 nucleotides) under uncultured organism. RNAcentral's name for it is "bacterial SSU rRNA". It matches the Rfam family "Bacterial small subunit ribosomal RNA", at positions 242 to 909 of the family's 1533-position model. The record is from RNAcentral.
CAGCUAGUUGGUGAGGUAACGGCUCACCAAGGCGACGACGGGUAGCUGGUCUGAGAGGAUGGUCAGCCGGACUGGGACUGAGACACGGCCCAGACUCCUACGGGGGGCAGCAAUUAGGAAUCUUGCGCAAUGGGCGAAAGCCUGACGCAGCGACGUCGCGUGAACGAUGAAGUCUUUCGGGAUGUAAAGUUCCUUUCUGAGGGAAGAAGGAUGUGACGGUACCUCAGGAAUAAGCCCCGGNUAACUACGUGCCAGCAGCCGCGGGAAUACGUAGGGGGCGAGCGUUGUCCGAAUUUACUGGGCGUAAAGCCGCGCGUAGCCGGACUCCUAAAUGUGGUGGUGAAACCCCGAGGCUCAACCGCGGGACUGCCUUCAAACCUGGGAGUCUAGAGCUUUGGAGAGGGAAGUGGAAUCCCUGGUUAAGCGGUGAAAUGCGUAGAUAUCAGGAGGCACACCGAUGGCGAAGGCAGCUUCCUGGCCAUGUCCUGACGCUGAGCUGCGAAAGCUAGGGUACCGAACGGGAUUAGAUACCCCGGUAGUCCUAGCCGUAGACGAUGGAUAACUAGGUGUUAGAGGUAUCGACCCCUCUAGUGCCGAAGCAAACGCAUUUAAGUAUCCCGCCUGGGGAGUACGGCCGCAAGGUUGAAACUCAAAGGAA